GACGAACGCUGGCGGCGUGCUUAACACAUGCCAGUCGAACGGAAAGGCCCUGCUUUUGUGGGGUGCUCGAGUGGCGAACGGGUGAGUAACACGUGAGUAACCUGCCCUUGACUUUGGGAUAACUUCAGGAAACUGGGGCUAAUACCGGAUAGGAGCUCCUGCUGCAUGGUCGGGGUUGGAAAGUUUCGGCGGUUGGGGAUGGACUCGCGGCUUAUCAGCUUGUUGGUGGGGUAGUGGCUUACCAAGGCUUUGACGGGUAGCCGGCCUGAGAGGGUGACCGGCCACAUUGGGACUGAGAUACGGCCCAGACUCCUACGGGAGGCAGCAGUGGGGAAUAUUGCACAAUGGGCGGAAGCCUGAUGCAGCAGCGCCGCGUGCGGGAUGACGGCCUUCGGGUUGGAAACCGCUUUCGCCUGUGACGAAGCGUGAGUGACGGUAAUGGGUAAAGAAGCACCGGCUAACUACGUG
This 468-nucleotide ribosomal RNA is filed under the name uncultured bacterium. RNAcentral describes it as "partial 16S ribosomal RNA". It matches the Rfam family "Bacterial small subunit ribosomal RNA", at positions 28 to 507 of the family's 1533-position model. The record is from RNAcentral.